Long non-coding RNA from Pieris napi, 363 nucleotides. RefSeq lists it as uncharacterized. The transcript is spliced from 2 exons. The record is from RefSeq and is a predicted model, not a curated record. Lineage: Eukaryota; Metazoa; Arthropoda; Insecta; Lepidoptera; Pieridae.
CUAAAAAGUACCUGUUAUGGCGGCUACUCUCUUCUGAACAUUGUUUAGUGGGGAAAAGCGUACACAUACCCUCCCGCGGCGCGACUGCCUUAUGGUGGAGGGUAAUGUGGGACUCGCUACUGUGCAUGCUCGCUGAAACCCAACGGAGCCCCCAGCAAUCGCCCGAGCCAGGACACGAUAGCAGCGUAACCUUGUGUGCAUCCCGCCACGCGAUAACCCGUUGAAGAUCAGUGGUUGGUUGUUCAAGCUUCGUGCGUAACACCUAACCUAACAUUUUGUUUUUGAGCGGUUUGGUAUUUCAACUAUUGGUACUCGUAUUUUGUUUGUAUUUAUUACUAAUAAUUACACACAUACGUUUAUAUA